Molecule: ribosomal RNA, 463 nt
Filed under: uncultured Thiobacillus sp.
Lineage: Bacteria; Pseudomonadati; Pseudomonadota; Betaproteobacteria; Nitrosomonadales; Thiobacillaceae
Description: bacterial SSU rRNA
Rfam family: Bacterial small subunit ribosomal RNA
Source: RNAcentral
ACGGGGCCCGCACAAGCGGUGGAUUAUGUGGAUUAAUUCGAUGCAACGCGAAAACCUUACCUACCCUUGACAUGUCCGGAACUUGCCAGAGAUGGCUUGGUGCCCGAAAGGGAAUCGGAACACAGGUGCUGCAUGGCUGUCGUCAGCUCGUGUCGUGAGAUGUUGGGUUAAGUCCCGCAACGAGCGCAACCCUUAUCAUUAGUUGCUACGCAAGGGCACUCUAAUGAGACUGCCGGUGACAAACCGGAGGAAGGUGGGGAUGACGUCAAGUCCUCAUGGCCCUUAUGGGUAGGGCUUCACACGUCAUACAAUGGUCGGUACAGAGGGUUGCCAAGCCGCGAGGCGGAGCCAAUCCCACAAAGCCGAUCGUAGUCCGGAUUGUUCUCUGCAACUCGAGAGCAUGAAGUCGGAAUCGCUAGUAAUCGCAGGUCAGCAUACUGCGGUGAAUACGUUCCCGGGUCUU